Anolis carolinensis (green anole) is the source of this 3980-nucleotide long non-coding RNA. Lineage: Eukaryota; Metazoa; Chordata; Lepidosauria; Squamata; Anolidae. The record is from Ensembl.
ACAACAGCCAGCAUAUUGAUCUGGGUUGUUGUGUACUAAUCUUGUUGUGUAUCCUUCAGGGAGAUGGUGGCAGGGUACAAAUAAAGCUUUAUUAUUAUUAUUAUUAUUAUUAUUAUUAUUAUUAUUAUUAUUAUUAUUAAUUAGUUCCUUGACAAAAUUGAAGGAAAAGCUGAUAAGGAGAAGACCUGGCUAUGGCUCACGAUGGGACCCUGAAGAAGGAGACAGAAGGCCUGAUCCUUGCAGCUUAGGAGCAAGCCAUCAGAACAAAUGCAAUUAAGGCCAAGAUUGAAAAAUCAGCUGAUGACCCAAAAUGCAGACUGUGCAAGGAAAGCGACGAAACCAUUGAUCAUAUCCUCAGCUGCUGUAAAAAAAUCGCACAGACAGACUACUAACAGAGGCACAACCAUGUGGCCCAAAUGAUCCAUUAGAACUUAUGCCUCAAGUACCACCGCCCAGCAGUAAAGAACUGGUGGGAUCACAAACCUGCAAAAGUAUUGGAAAAUGAGCACGCAAAGAUACUGUGGGACUUCUGAAUCCAGACUGACAAAGUUCUGGAACACAACACACCAGACUUCACAGUUGUGGAAAAGAAAAAGGGUUGGAUCAUUGAUGUUGCCAUCCCAGGUGACAGUCGCAUUGAUGAAAAACAACAGGAAAAACUCAGCCGCUAUCAGGACCUCAAGACUGAACUUCAAAGACUCUGGCAGAAACCAGUGCAGGUCCACCACCACUGGGACCAUCUGCACUGGUUUCUGCCAGAGUCUUUGAAGUUCAAUCUUGAGGUCCUGAUAGCGGCUGAGUUUUUCCUGUUGUUUUUCGUCAAUGCGACUGUCAUCUGGGAUGGCAACAUCAAUGAUCUAAACCUUUUUCUUUUCCACAACUGUGAUGUCUGGUGUGUUGUGUUCCAGAACUUUGUCAGUCUGGAUUAGGACUGACAAAUAAUAAUAAUAAUAAUAAUAAUAAUAAUAAUAAUAAUAAUAAUUAUUAUUAUUAUUAUUAUUAUUAUUAUUAUUAUUAUUAUUAUUGGAGAAAACUAACUUACACUGUUCUCUCCUGUCUUUCCCUGUCUUCAGGGAUAGCCAGCCAUCCCAAUAAUUUAUCUAGUCAGAUCAUGGCGUGAUGGGGUGUGGCUUUAUUUGCUUAUACAAGAUAGCCACAAACACUUAUCUGCCUCUUUUCAUUUCUUUGGCCCUCCCUCCCACCUCCUAUGGCAGUGUAACUUGUAGUGCUCACUACAGGGCCAGGUAGGAAUUGCCCUCUUUUACAGGGCUUUGUUUUGUCUAUUUUAUACUGCUAUGGAGAUAUGGGCAAUUAGGGCAGUGUCAAUUUAAAUAGGUUUCCUAAGCCGUGAUCCUUCUACUAUCAUGGACCUGACACAGAAUCUCUGUCAAUUCACCUGGCUCACCAUCUCAUAGUUCAAAAGGCCAUCCAUAGUCAUACUCAGUGUCAGGCUAUUGCUAUCUGCCUGUCCCUGACUCAGAUGCUGGGUGAAGCAGCACUUCAUCUUCAUUCUCAUCACCAGCCCUGGCACAUUUGGUGUUGGAUGGGAAUUUUGAACUUCUCCUGAGUAAUAAUAAUAAUAAUAAUAAUAAUAAUAAUAAUAAUAAUAACUUUAUUUUAUAUGCCGCCAGCCAUCUCCCUGGGGGGACUCGGAGCGGCUCACAACAGUUAAAACAACAAGCAUCAUAUUAAAACAAGUUCAACAAAACAUAAUAUAAAAUAACAUAAUUAUAAAAUCACAAAUAUUAACAAGGUGAUCUAGGGCUUGAAAAGAAUAUCCCAUCCUUGGGGUUCGUUUCUGGGUCUUUGCCCUCACCAGGGGUCAAAGCAGUUCAGAGACUUACAUCCUCCAGCUAGCCUUGCAGUAUUUGAGGUGGACCUUUGAGCAACCUUAUUGAUAAGGGAAUGCUCUCAGGCCUUUGGUGUUUUCCUCAAGAAGAGACUAGGGACUCGAGUCAGGGGUGACCAACUGCCUCAGCCGCUCCAGUAUCAUAUUUGUUCCCCCAGAUUUGACUAACCAUCACCAAGAAACAUUUAAAAUGGUAACAAUUUGUAAAGUUGCCCUUGGUUUAUUCCACUUCUGUUAUCUGGUCUCUUUAUUCCUCUGGUUUGUUGGCAAUUAUUAUUUGGAAAACUCUUUGGUGAUUUUCAAAAUCUGUGUGAGUUUUUUCAUUUCCUAAUUGUCAUAUAUUUUGUGAAUAGAUUUUCUGAAUGAGUCUUAACGUGUUUAUCUUUAUUUGGGUGGAUAUUUUAAAAGCCUCCUUUUGAGAGCAUAGUAACCUACAAAGUUUAUGGAUCACUGUAACAGUUCAGGAAUACCCCAUUAAAUUAUUCUCAUUAGCACAUUUUACUUAGGCUCUCUUUUAAUUGCAUUGUAGCUAUAAUGUGGUCAACUUAUGUUCAUAACUGUAAUUAAAAUGAUGCUGACGGUUCUCAUAUGGCUUUCUCUCCCUCUACAAUUAAUUGAUGCUGAAAUUAGGUCUUUAAUAUUAAUGCAGUGUUUGAGACCUCUAGAUGAAAUGCUACAUCUAACUGUUUGGGGAGGUGAGUGCAGAAUACUUGUUAAAUGCUUAGAUCCUAGCUUUUGUUGUUUGUUCUUUGCCUAAAGUCUGAAAGCAAAUCUAUUUUGCAGAUUUAAAGUGGGAUUAAUACUCAUUUCAUUAUACCAAGGAAUUAUGGGAAGUAUACUUCUGUGAAGAGGGAUUAACAGAUUCUCAGCACGUUGGCCUGAGUGCCAUUCCGAAGUUAUUCUUAGGAAAAGCUUAUACUGGUAGAAAAUGCAUAUUCUUUGAGAGAAUGUACUAAUGGCAAUUUCCUCACAAAUCAAGCUCCAAUUCAGGAAGGACAGCUUUUAGGGAGCAUUGCAGUGACUAGCUAAAUUAGCUACUGCUGGUAGAAGUGGAACAUACAUUCUGCAAAGCCACAGUGUUCUUUUCAUUAAGUUAAGAUUUUUUGAUGUGUUAUUCUGAUUCUUAUUUGGACACAUUUCACUUGAAAGUCUGCCUGCCCAGAAUGAGAAAAGUGCUUUCUGCAUGGUAGAAACGGGUUGGACUGGGUGGCCCUUUGAGUUCCUCCUCCUAUUACUACUACUACUACUACUGCUACUACUUCAAAGGCUGGAUGUUCACCUAUUGGGGUGCUUUGAUUUGUGCUUUUAUUGCACAGCUGAAAUAGGUUGGACUAGGUGGCCCCUGGGGUAGCUAGCUAUUAUUAUUAUUAUUAUUAUUAUUAUUAUUAUUAUUAUUAUUUUAUUUUAUUUUAUUGUAUGACACAGCAAACAAGAUAGAUAUGCUGGAUUUCGUAUCACAAAAUCACAAGUUGAACACUUCCCAAGAGUCUAGGAUUGUGUGAUGUAUUUUCGGAUGAUACGUGCAGAUCCCAGUAGGGUGGCCUUUUGCAGGUGGCAGAUCGUAAUUUUGUCAAUGUCUAUUGUUUCCAAAUGAGAUCUUUUGGCAUGGCACCCAAUGUGCCGAUCACCACCGGGACCACCUGCACUGGUUUCUGCCAGAGUCUUUGAAGUUCAAUCUUGAGGUCCUGAUAGCAGCUGAGUUUUUCCUGUUGUUGUUCGUCAAUGCGACUGUCACCUGGGAUGGCAACAUUAAUGAUCUAAACCUUUUUCUUUUCCACAACUGUGAUGUCUGGUGUGUUGUGUUCCAGGACUUUGUGAUCCCACCAGUUCUUACCCUGCAGACUAGGACACAGAACAAUGGCUUCAAACUACAGGAAAGGAGAUUCCACCUGAACAUCAGGAAGAACUUCCUCACUGUGAGAGCUGUUCGACAGUGGAACUCUCUCCCCCGGGCUGUGGUGGAGGCUCCUUCCUUGGAGGCUUUUAAGCAGAGGCUGGAUGGCCAUCUGUCGGGGGUGCUUUGAAUGCGAUUUCCUGCUUCUUGGCAGGGGGUUGGACUGGAUGGCCCAUGAGGUCUCUUCCAACUCUACUAUUCUAGGUGGUACUUGAGGCAUAAGUUCCAACGAAUCAU